This is a long non-coding RNA of Betta splendens (Siamese fighting fish), 5672 nucleotides long. RefSeq lists it as uncharacterized. Lineage: Eukaryota; Metazoa; Chordata; Actinopteri; Anabantiformes; Osphronemidae. The record is from RefSeq and is a predicted model, not a curated record. The transcript has 2 exons.
UAGCUGAAACAUUUCAAUUGGUUGAAAAAAAAGAAAAAAAAAAAGAAAAGAAAUAUUCUAUUUGGUUGAAACACUAAAUUUGAUUAGGAAAAUUAAUUAGAUCGAGAAAAAAGAAAAAAAAAAUCCCAAUAAUACAUGUUCUUAAUUAGGUGAAAGUCUGCUCUGGGUGGUGAGACGUCGGUUGCUAAGGGUUGGCUCGUGGAACCGAGCUUCCGUCUGUACUGAGGAUACAGACAUGUUAUUUUUGAUCUCUGCGUGGUCCACAUGUGGGGGACUGAGUAUAAAAGACGGCUUCUGAAAGAGGGAGCGCGUUUGCAGAGUGAAGUAUUUUCAAGAUACGAGGGACCCGGGCCUAGAGGGGCCUAACGUUGAGAAAAUACUUCGUGAAAGGAUCUGUCGCCAGAUCAGGUUGGUUCCCUUUUUACGGAGACGUCCGAUAAAAAGGCAUUUUGGGAAGGUUCCGGCCGGAACACACAAAAAAAUCUAAGGCAGGAAACCGCCGGACUCUGAAAGACGGGUUCGGGGCAAUUUGAGUCUUCACCACCAGACAGAAACCGUACAAAACUAAACAACUGAGCGCGAUGAGGGUAAAUCCGGAUCUGGACUCCUUUCCCACCAUCAGCAGAAGAACCGAAGGAGAAGAAGCGCCGACCAACAACCAGAACAGGGUGGAAGCUCUGACACCACAGCAGCUGGAGGACACAGACCACAGCAUGGACGCCUCAGCGACUCUCACAACGUCUGCAGCCGUCACGUUCUGGGCUCAUCAGAUGAACCAGCUACUACAAGCGUGUGUGUCUGACACAGACACCUGCUUAUGACAAUCAGCAAAGGAAAACAAGGACAGAGCAACAGCAGAGAAGACGUGCUCUGACACGGACACUGGUUAAAACAACAGGAGAGGCUUCAGAUGUGAUCGGCCCAAUAGAGCUGCAUCUGAGGAUCCAGGAAAGGUCUGUCAUCGAGGAACAACUGUCCCAUCGAAAGGCUUCACCCACUGGCGCUCACAUCAGACUGAUGGUUGGGGAAGGAGGAAGGUGACGGUUCCUUUUCACGUGACGUAGAAGACGGUACCGCAAACACACACACACAUUCAUACACGCAAUGAAGAAACACGCUUACAGCUGAUACACGCUCAAAUUCAUGUUCAUGCUUAUCUGCUCGCAAUGAAGAAUCUCUUUUUGCUCAAAAAAAAAAAAUCCCACAGAGUGAUUUUCAAAUUAUGACAAACAGCUAAAUGACAACUGCUGCAUGACUUUACAGUCUGAUGGGUUCAAACUAUUUUAACUUGCAACAAAUUCAGUAAUAAAAUCCUUCAUGUUUCUAAAAAUACUUGUGCACAAUAUAGGUUUGUCUGGCCAGACUGUAGAAAAACAAAAAAACAGACUGUAGAAAAAAACAAAAAAACAGACUAUAGGAAGACUGAGACUGAAACAGACUAUUAAUGACUAUUAAAGGGAAGAUGACUAUUAGAGAGAAGUAAUAAUAAUUACUGUAUGUACCAGACUAUUAAAGAAAAACUUACUGUUUCAUUGUCUUGUGCAACAUCUGACAGAAAGACACCUUAACAUUCAUCUUUGCUUUCAAACUUGUGCCCAGUUAAAUUUUUAGGAAGAGAUCUCAUGUAGUUUACAUAUUUGAUUGAUUUCCACUCCAGACGGAGUGCAGGUUACAUCUACAGACAUUCUAAAUAAUCCCUCUUUUGUUGGUGUUAACUUCAGCUCAGCUGUGCUCUUAUCAUUGCCUGCCUGAGGGGGGGCUGUAACUGAGGCCCUCACACAGGCUGCAUCACAGCUUGUUUAUGAUUUCACACACACACACACAAACUGACCUCAACUUCCCUCUUUUGGGAUGAACACAGGUCUGCGCUUGCGAUUUCUUUUACUAACGAACAAAAAGAUUUUUAUUUUUAUUCUACAGUUCCACACGUCCCUCUGUGAAAACAUGAUGGAGACAGAUGCAGGACGUGGGUCCUUUCGUGAACAGAUGUCAACGGGGUGGAGACUGGUGAACAACUUCUGACCCCAUGUGAUGUAUUCACCUACUUUGCAUACUUUAGAAAACUUUUUUUUUAUUCUGCCUGUCAUGCACAACAAACAGUGAACCUCCACAUUCUAAUGACACACUACAUGUUUUUAUGUUUAUUUUUCAGAGGACGCUCUGAGCCAACACUCAGCCUUACAGGAAGCCCUGCUUCCCUGUGACUCACACACAGACAUGAUGUAGGUUUGAUCAGAGGAUGUGAACCAGUGGUCAUCACACCUAAAUCUGACCACAAACCAUGUAAACAACAACACCCUCUUAAAGGAAGCCAUAGAUGGUGUUACUGCAGACACCACUAAGCUACUAAAACAUUGGAUGCUACAGGCCACAAAGAGAGCCUGUCUAAAUUACAGUUUGUUCAGACAAAGGUUAUUUUCUGGGUCAUUGUAAUUACAGCUGAUGGCAAAUCCAUCUCACCCAACUGAGUUAAAGCAAUUUGAGACCUGCCUAAACCGUGCACGUAAAAACAGCUGAUAUCUUUUCUAGGUCUUUGUUCUUAUUGUAGGAACUUCAUUCCUAACUUUACUGUCUUUGAGGCCCCACUCAGGGUUCUGAUGCAGACGUCUUCAUCGUCCACUUCUUGUCUCACGUGGACGUCUGAGGCUGAACAACGUUCACCGACCUCAUGCUUGCUCUUCAGUUGGCUCCUCCUUUGGGUCUUCCUGAUCUGACCCUACGCGACCUUUCACUCAAACAGUGGAUGAGAAAUCAGGUUGUACGACUUCUGUUCUUUUGUCCUCAUACUGUGUCUUUGAUUCUUUUGGAAUAGAUCCCAUCUUUCUACAGCCCGAUGGCUUAGAAGCAACACCACUUUGCUCAACAUGCUGAACGUUACUAUCAAGACGUCAUCUUGAAGUCUAGUGCUUUGCUAAGACACUACUCUGCUCAGGCUGCAGAGUUGAUCCUAUUGACUGAAGCUGGUUAACUAAAAGUCUGUUACCAUCUACACAGACUCCACAGACGCUCUGUGGAAGCAUAAGAAGCUUUUGAAGUCUGAUUGCAAACCUAUCUUACAUCAUGAUAAGGUUCUGCUUUGCUGGACGCUGUCCUGCUACAGUACCUACAGCUAAUGCUGUUUGUAACUGUCCAACAUCAGUGACGACUUUGUUUCUGCCGACAUGCAGCUGCAGACGCUGCUGCGAAGGUCGCUGCCCAACAACCCCUCCCUCUCCUGAUCCUCGUUUCCUCUCCUGAUCCUUGUUCCCUCUCCAACUCUCUCUAUCCUUUCCUUCCUCAUCUCCCUGUGCUUUAAACAUUUUCUACCUCACAGGAACGCAGACUCUGGCUGACGAAUGGUUCCACCUGUAGCCAUGGAGUCUGGUUUGGGCCUGACGACAAACCGUGCCGCCCAAACACUUUUUCCCCACAAUUCAGAUUUCCCAACAGGUGAAAACAGGCGACAGGGCCAUCACACCAUUCAACCAGGGGACUGAGCGAUCGUUAAGGAGUUCAGGAGGAAACACUGGAACUCCAAACGGUGGCGAGGCCCCUUCCAGGUCCUUCUGACGACCAACACGGCUGUGAAGAUCGCAGAAAGAGCGACUUGGAUCAACUCCAUCCAGGAAGGUCCCGGAUCCAACAGACGACCCUCCAUCUACAUCCUACGGAGAAAACCACCACUAACGAAAAGAACUAAAAAGGACGACUCUCGCUGUGCUCACACACGCACUGAGGCGAGGCUGCGUUGACCGUUCAGCUAAAGGUGUGAGCCAAGCGCCGCCUGAAGCUGCGCCGGUGAAUCACACUAUCAGACCAACAGCUACACACACGCUCCUGAGAAAACACACACACGAGCAGCCUUGAGUUGCCGACGCUGGACGACGUGUAGACUCUUCACAUCACGGGAGUGACAGUGACUCAGACGACAUUGGGAGGAAACCUGACGGUGAUAACGAACCCCAAGUGUCUCUGUGAUCAGCUGAUCACAACCUGAAGAACUCCAACGAACUGGCAAUACUUCAACACACAGGUUGGAAACAAUCUAACGCUACUGUUCAAUAAGAAGAAGCAGAUUGUUACGAGACAUCAAUUGUAACCAUGUUGUGUUAGACCUUAUUUUGUUACUCUGAUUAUUGUCUUUAUCAUAUGAUGUUUCUAUGUAACUUUACACAAUACUUUUGAAUGAGAAAAUUUCACAUAAUUCACAACGACACUGAGUUUAAAUAUCCUGAAGUUGACUUGGUGUUUAAUUUGCUCACAAUCACUUAUUCACUGCUACAAUUAGUUUUUAUCCUUCAUCUACAGAUGACAGAGGUUAUGAGACAAAACGCAUCAUCAUUCUGGUUAAAUCCCUGGAUCUCGUAUUCAUUCUAGAUGCAAAUGUACAAUUAAAGAUUCAAAAGCAUGAAAUCUAUCUUAAGAUUAUAUGAUACAGAACCCCACCGGAAACCUAUGGCUAUCAUACAUUAAUUGUAUUUAUUACAUUACAAUUGAAUGGCCAUAGACACGUUGUUAGCAGAGAAAAGAGGCGUUUGUGUUAUGUUUGGAGACGCAUGUUGUACUUACAUCCUGAAUAACACUGAUUCUAAUGAUAUUGUGGCGAAGGCGCUACACGGCCUUCAGAGUCUCAGCUAACUCUGGUAUAGGUUCUUUCUCUUGGAAUUGGCUAGACGAAAUGUCUGGAAAAUGGAAAUCUGUUCUCAUGUCCACAGCUGUUUCCUUUAUAAUUGAGAUGGCUGUGAUUCUCUUGUUUGGUUUUUGCGUUAUCCCACUGGUUAGAGGUCUCAUCAUGCGUGCGACCUCAGCAACACUCUCGUAUGAGAUGACACAAUGCACUAUGUUCAAAAACCCCAACUCUAACUCACUUAAUGACUUUGACGAUGGUAUGGGCUCAUUUUUUUCACAUGCCGAUACAGAAGUUAUUCUUGUAUAACUACCCACCAAAAACAGCUCCCAACCUUUUGUCCCUAAGUUACUUGCAUUUUAUGUGAAGGUGUAUUUUGAAUCUUGAUGAGUUAAUACCCUUAUUGUUUCAUUUGCAAGGAUCUUUUAUUAUUACAGAAUGUGAUGUUGACAAUUUUUAUUCCUUUAUGGUUUGAUUAAUGUGUAAUCAAAAGGGGGGAGUGUUAUGGGAAAAAUUGUCUCUUCCUUAUUUUUAUGUGUCUUCCUUAUUUCUAUGCAUUUUUAUGCAGUUAUUAUACGAGUUAUGACUUAUGUUCUGCAAUUAAUAUCUUAUGUUUUGUCUUACUGUAUGCAUUUGACAUUUCACCUAGAUUGUUCAAUGGUUGUCUCUGCCUGAUAGACUCUCAACUCUAGCUCCCAAACCCAAGGUCGGGGAGUUGUGUCUCUGUCUGUUGAGACUCUGUGCUCCUUUCUCACAGAUAGUUGGACGUCAGCAAUGCAGGUGUGAGAAAGUAAAAAUCUUCACACAUACUGCGACAGGGAGGAGAUGGUGCAUGUAAUUUGAUUGGGUUAGAAAGACAUUUCACCCUAGUCGGACAGAGAAGCUAAAAGGCAGAAGCAACUUGAGGAUCGUGGGCUCUUUGCAUCACACCUUCGUGGUGUGUGCACUGAUCUCCCCAGCUGGUUUUUGGUUUGUUGAUGUGCACGAUCAACAUCCAUGCUUUUUAUUUGCUUUCCCCAUUAUUUUUAUUUUCUUUAUUAUUUCAAUAAAUCGCACAAAAGGACAA